Molecule: long non-coding RNA, 3686 nt
Filed under: Sus scrofa (pig)
Lineage: Eukaryota; Metazoa; Chordata; Mammalia; Artiodactyla; Suidae
Description: lncRNA (ENSSSCG00000056063.1)
Source: RNAcentral
CAUGAACUGAUCAAGAGAUGAUCCAAGAACAUUUGCAUCAUCAAUUCUUGCUUUGAAAUGCUUCUAAAAACCAAAUUCUUGGUUCUUAUCACAGAUAUAUUCAGUCAGUUUUCUGAUGGAUGCAGCUCAGGGUCUGCUUUUCUAAAAAUUUUCUUGGGUUAUUUUUAAUGCAUUAAAAUUUUUGAGAAUCAUGGGUAAAGGUGAUAACUAAAGCCUUGUGGUAGAGAAGAUUAUUUGGGAGAAAGCAUAAAGCAUGGAGAGAUUUUUACCAAAUGAACAAGGUUAUAGACAAGAAUGGUAAUGUCUUGCAGAAACUACGGAGUUUGAAAAAACUGUUUAAAAAGGAAGAUUCUUGAGAGUAGAGAAAGUAGUAAUGGGAAGAUAAAAGUUUUACGGAGGUGAGGUGGUGAAGACUUCAGAGAGAGCCACAUCAUGUUUUGUAAAGAGGUUGCCUAAAAAGAGACAGGAAAAGAACACUGGUUUCAUCAAUUUGUCAGUCAUCACUGACCCUUGAGGCAGUCGUUUCAAUAAACUGAUGGGAGUGAAAAUAAUAUGAUAUCGUAAAGCACUGAAGGAACUGAAGAUUCAGAGAUAAACUAUUUUGAGACUGUUUUCCUUUUAUGGGAGGACGGUAUAUGUUGUUCAUAACUCAGUUUAAUUUCUGUUUCAAAUUCUCAUUCAUCUAAGGAAGAGAACAUGUGAUGUCAGUGGGGGAUUUACCCUGUACUUUACUCUCCUAGAAUGUGCAGCCUCCAACUUUGUGUUCAGGUGGGUCCAGGCAGAUCAUCGCUGAGAUGAUCUGGCCCGUCUUUAAGGAGCCUUUCAACCUGACAGCUUUCCCUCUCCUCUCAAAUCAUAUUAAGGCGGGGGAAUCCAUGGGGCAGGUGUGGCCUGGCAUGUAGAGUUGUAUCAAACAGACGUUUCCUCUUGGAGCAAACUCUCUGGGGUUUCCUCUUGAGUAUCACAUACCCAUCCUGGAGUUUCUGUUGUGCACCAGGGCUUCUCCCCUUGAAACCCUCUUCUCUUCCCCAGAUGCCAUUCCAGAUAUGUUACACAUAUUAUGUACACACUUUAUUCUGGAUGACAUUUUUAAAAAUAUUUUAUUUUAUUAUUAUUAAAGUAUAGUUGAUUUACAAUGUUUCUUCAAGUCCUUUUGUACAGCAAAGUGACCCAAUCACACACACUUCCCUGUGCUGUACAGCGGGACCCCAUUGUACAUCCAUUCUAGAUAUAACCGUUUGCACCCCCCAAGUGCCUAUCCAUCCCACUCCUUCCCCUUCCCCCCCAGUCUGCUCUUCUUGGCCAUAAUCUGUUUCCGUUUUUUGGUUGCUUAUUUGUUUGUUUGUUAUUUUUAGAUGGGAUCAUCCGUUCCAUAUUUUAGAUUCCACAAGUAAGUGAUGUCAUAUAUUUGUCUUUUUCUUUCUGGCUUACUUCACUCAGUAUGAGUCUCUAGAUCCAACCGUGUUGCUGCAAAUGGCAUUAGUUUUGUCUUUUUUAUGGAUGGGUAGUAUUCCAUUGUGUAUAUAUACCACAUCUUCUUAAUCCAUUCAUCUGUUGAUGGACAUUAAAGUUGUUUUCCACAUCUUGGCUAUUGUGAAUAGUGUUGCCAUGAACAUAGGGUUGCUUGUAUCUUUUUCAAUGAAAGUUUUAGCAAGAGUCACAGCUCGAGCCUAAACUCUAUUUGAGAAUUGGGUGUGUGAGUACACCUGGAAAAGAAGGAGGGGAGAGAGGCCCAUGUACCUGGGGAAGGGCCAGGGUGAGGAGAGGAGCUCUUUCGAAGGGAAAAGAGUCCAAAUGUGAUUUGUGUAGAGUACACAGGAAUGAUCCAGAGGACAGCUUGGCAUCUGUCGGAUGGUUCCUGGUUUAACUCUUAGGUGGUUCUGCAACAACAGAGCUAAUAUAAAUUAAAAGAGUCAUUUCUCCAAACUCCCCACAGGACACUGACUUACAAAUUGUUAACUACAUUGAGAAUUGCUGGUCCUUGAAGGAGAAGCAGUAGUACAGGCCAUAGCAGAUUGGUGACGGGACAGAGGCAUCUUUUUUGUCAGUAUAUUCUGUCUUUCACUUCGAUAAACAGUAACCUUGCUACAGAUAUGGAUACUGUUAAGACUUGGACAACGGCAAUCUUACAGCCUCUGGAAGGCAACAGUGGGCAACGCUGGCAUAAAUGCCACUUUCAGCAGCCCUCCAGGGGGCUAACAGAGAAAGAGAGAAACCUGCUGAAGGAUUUCAGUGUUGUUGGUGAGUCUGUUUUUUUUUUUUUUUUUUUUUUUAUCUGGGGUAUAGUGAACAAACAGAUGAAAUUGAAUAGAAAACUGAGAUUCAAAGAAUUAAGCAAACUUGUAUAAAAUUCUAUACAGGGCUAAUAGGAUCAUUUGUCUACUCAUGCUAUCAUCUUCCUAUUUGGAAGGAGAAGAUUCCAGGGAAGAAAAAAAGAUUGUAAUUAUCUCACAGUAAUCGAUGGCAGGGUCUUGGAUAAAUUAGGGGAAGAUAAAAUUAAGAAUAUAGCUGGAGGAAUUAAUUAAAGACAUUUAGAAAAUGGAAUGUAAGGAAUUCAAGCAGAGGUAUUUCAGACAAAAGAUUAUAAGCAUAUGGAAUCAGAUAAGAAAGCUAGCUGAGUUUUCAGCAUACAAAGUAAUUAAAGAAAGACAUCUGGAACAGGAGAGAAAUAAGAGAAGCAGAGGACAUAAAAGAUAGGUUUGAGAUAAACUAAGGAGUGUUUUGGUAAGGCCAGAUGUUUUUUUUUUCUCCUUUGCUUGACAUAUAUUAUGUCUUUCUUAACCACAAUCCCAAACAUUGCACAUUUCAACAUGUAUAUUUGUCUCUAGAAAUAUCUAGGACCUAUAUAAAUGUAUCCGCGAAUGAUUCAAAGAUCAACGUGCCCCUUUUUCAUGGUUAACUUAGCUUUUGUCUAGGUUCCCACAAAAGUCUGAAAUGUAUACUCAUGAUUACAUAUUUUGGGCCUCAAAAAUGACAACAAAAAUGGCUCUUUAACAUAGUUUUCUAUUGCAGUAGGAAACAACAUCCAGUAAAGUACCCCUCCAAAUGUCUUUCAUCAUGCUCUUCUCAUUAUGUGAGGCAAUUUUGAUGAUGAGGGAUGGAAGUGCAUUAUCCUUUUGUUCCCUGUUAUACUGAGGGCUAAUCACAUCAGUAUGAAUGGUGAGAAUAGGUCAUUUUACAGGGAUUCUUCUCAUUUGUGUUUAGAAGCAUAACUUCAGCUUGUGGAAUGUCUUUGGUCAUUGCCUAAAUUGUGUGAUGGUAUCGCUGGCUGCAGCUGUGUUGUGACUGGGGGAAGGCAUUGAAGAAAAGCCUGCUCACCCCAAAUAUCUUUCCCUCUGGCUGACUGUAUGUGGGAAUCACCAAUGACUGUUGUUCUCCAAAAGGACAAGAGACUCAGUGAAUGAAUAGAUUUUAUGGUAAAAUAUCUCCUUUUGACUUGACUAGGAAUAUAUUGGUUAUUCACAGGGAAUUUGGAAUACCAAAUUCUUGGAUGGGAACACAGUGCAACUAAAUUCUCUCUGGCACAAAAGAGAGCAAUGAUACAGAAUCAGUCUAGUCAGGGAAACAACCUCACAACAAAGGGGUCUGUGGUGCUGGGCUCCAUCAUUUCCAAGGUUUACUGAUAAAAUAUGUGUGGUAUUGCUGGCUGUGACUCUGAGCAAGUUGUUGUCCUCAGAUUGGUUUUU